CAUGAAAACACUGUCGUUUUUCUUCGCUUUCUUUUUUACCUUCCCCUGACUGGGAGGCCAUUCGUCGUGUAAAAAGAAAGCGAAGACGAACAACAAAGCCUCCCAACCGGGAGGCUUUUUUAUU
Molecule: regulatory RNA element, 124 nt
Organism: Pantoea ananatis LMG 20103
Lineage: Bacteria; Pseudomonadati; Pseudomonadota; Gammaproteobacteria; Enterobacterales; Erwiniaceae
Rfam family: Phenylalanine leader peptide
Source: Rfam